This is a long non-coding RNA of Onychomys torridus (southern grasshopper mouse), 2024 nucleotides long. RefSeq lists it as uncharacterized. The transcript is spliced from 2 exons. Lineage: Eukaryota; Metazoa; Chordata; Mammalia; Rodentia; Cricetidae. The record is from RefSeq and is a predicted model, not a curated record.
UCUCUGGGCCUCUUUCAGCUCAGUUCCCACUCAGCUAAAGGAUUAUCUGUCCCCUACUCGGUUCAUUCACCGAGCCCCAAAGAAGCUCGGGUUCGGUUGGAGCUAAGAGCCGGAAAACACACACCCAGGCUUCAGCACUAGUUGGUGGAGCCCGAAGGGCCGCACACUACGGCUGAGGGUGGGGGUUCGAGAGCUCCGGAGGAAGGAACGCCUGGGAUCCGGCGAGCCACGGCCCGCGAAGUGCAGACCCCGGAGACGAACGCCCCCAUCGGGUCACCGGCUUAAGUUAGCUCCGCGUGCGCCCGCGGGCCGGAGCGCGAGACCGCGCCGGGUGGCCGGGUUGACUCCUCAGCCCGAGUGACCAACCGCAGUCGGGGAAGCACUGGGGCACCCUAACGGGAAAGCCCGCCCCAAAUCUGGAGCAGACAGACUGCGAAGCACCCCCUCCUCCCCCGCCGCUACAGCCCCGGGGCUCCAACAUUCAGAUCCUGGGGACCGCGGCAACGUGUCCCCUUAUGUGGCCGGUCCCCAGCCCAGGAGCCGAGCGCUCGGUCCCCGGGAAGGACCUGGAGAACCGAGAGAUGGAGUAGAGGAACCUCCGCGUCUCUCCACCGCCCCCGCCGGCGCGAAGGCGGGAGUGGAGAAGGCGCCACUCAGACGGUGGCGCUGAGAGAACUGUGGCCGCAGUUCUCCCAAGUUUGCCCCGGCGAGGGGGAUGCGGUGGGCGCCCCGCUCAGCUCUCUGCCUUCUCUAGCAGUCUCCUCUCGACCGUCCCCAGCUCUACCGGCUCGGCCCGACUCUAGGCCAGCCACCGAGGUGGCCGGGCGCGGGAGCAGACGCAGAGAGCGAGGGAGGGGACGAGGGUGCUCCCGCGUGUGCACACAAUGAGGCGGCCGGCACGCACACCUUCCUCCCGCCGGAGAAACGGGACGAACCUCAGCCGCCUAGAUGCGGGGACGCGGGGUCCCUGGGAGCCACCCGCAGAAAGGGAUGUCCGCUAGGCUGAAUCCCUUGGCACCGUAAGCCUGGCGGACCUCGCUACAGCUCCGAGCCUUCACGUCCGCCGCGGCCGGGAGGGACAGCAGCAGCCCGGAGAGAGGAAGAAUCACAGCCCGGAUCCAAGAAGGCAUGGUGAAACGUGCAAGUCCACCUCGGCAGCCCCCAGCUCCCUAUGCGCUCUUCACCUUGCCCCUGGAGCCGAAAGCCCGCCAGAGCCUGCGGCGCGCUCCUUAGCCGCUGCCCAGCGUCACCCCCUUCCGCCAGCCGAGGGGACGAGCCGUGCAGCUCUCUGGACUGCGCUCAGCAAACUUUUAUAAGCCAGAUGGAGGAUGGCAAGCCAACCAGGGCUGGCUGGGGAAUGCAGCCGGCUCGGCUAGCCGCUGGGGUAGAAAACGGUACGAGAAAGGCGAGAGAGGAGAAGGCAAAUAAAUGUCUUUUUUUUUUUUUUUUUCUUUUUCUGUUUUAAAUACCACAGUGGGGGCGUUCAGAGCAGCGGUCCGAGUUCCGAGCCGCAGAGUCGUGGAGCGCUGCGAGCUCGCCUGGCCAGGGUGUGCGACGAAGGUGGGACCGCGCGCCGGCUCCCCCCGGAGGGAGAUGGACAGGCCGGCGCGAGUGUGUGCGCGCGUGUUUGUGGGUGUGAGCGCUGGACUCUCGGGGAGGUGUGUGCGUGGAGGUAUGUGAUGGAGAUGUACGGGAUCCAGGGAAACCUCAGCUUCACACAGACUGGGGGAGCCUGUGCGAGUCUUCUUGAAAUAGGAAGAGAGAAAAUCCUGGAGACUGACACUGGAGAAAGGAGGGAGGGAGAGAGAGAGAAACGUGCUACCCAGUGCACCGCCGAAAUUCAGAGGCAGAGUCGGCCGCAAAACCUGGAAUGGAUCGCGAGCCAUUAGCUAGGAGGGAAGAGAUUAGAAACGCAAGGUCCCUAUUUUCUCAAUCACUUCACAAGUCUCCAUACCCAUCCGAAAUGCUACCUUUCCUGACAUAAAUAAACCACAAUAAAAAGAGAAAAAAAGUGUUUGAGGCGA